RNAcentral lists this long non-coding RNA (597 nucleotides) under Rattus norvegicus (Norway rat). RNAcentral describes it as "long non-coding RNA NONRATT006206". Lineage: Eukaryota; Metazoa; Chordata; Mammalia; Rodentia; Muridae. The record is from RNAcentral.
GAAGAACUACGACCCUCAGAAGGACAAACGCUUCUCGGGCACCGUCAGGCUUAAGUCCACCCCUCGCCCCAAGUUCUCGGUGUGUGUCCUGGGGGACCAGCAGCACUGUGACGAAGCCAAGGCCGUGGAUAUCCCCCACAUGGACAUCGAGGCGCUCAAGAAGCUUAACAAGAACAAGAAGUUGGUCAAAAAGCUGGCCAAGAAGUACGAUGCCUUUUUGGCCUCCGAGUCUCUGAUCAAGCAAAUCCCACAUAUCCUGGGUCCAGGCCUAAACCAGGCAGGCAAGUUCCCCUCCCUGCUGACACACAAUGAAAACAUGGUGGCCAAAGUGGAUGAGGUGAAAUCCACAAUCAAGUUCCAGGUGAAGAAGGUGCUGUGUCUGGCCGUUGCCGUUGGCCACGUGAAGAUGACUGAUGAUGAGCUAGUCUACAACAUCCACCUGGUUGUCAACUUCUUGGUGUCCUUACUCAAGAAAAACUGGCAGAUCGACCGGGCUCUGUACAUCAAGAGCACCAUGGACAAGCCCCAGCGUCUAUAUUAGGACGCUCCAAUAAACCUCGGUGCUGCCAUCUCAAAAACAAAACAAAACAAAACAAA